GAUGAACGCUGGCGGCGUGCCUAAUACAUGCAAGUCGAGCGAACAGACGAGGAGCUUGCUCCUCUGACGUUAGCGGCGGAAGGGUGAGUAACACGUGGAUAACCUACCUAUAAGACUGGGAUAACUUCGGGAAACCGGAGCUAAUACCGGAUAAUAUAUUGAACCGCAUGGUUCAAUAGUGAAAGACGGUUUUGCUGUAACUUAUAGAUGGAUCCUCGCCGCAUUAGCUAGUUGGUAAGGUAACGGCUUACCAAGGCAACGAUGCGUAGCCGACCUGAGAGGGUGAUCGGCCACACUGGAACUGAGACACGGCCCAGACUCCUACGGGAGGCAGCAGUAGGGAAUCUUCCGCAAUGGGCGAAAGCUUGACGGAGCAACGCCGCGUGAGUGAUGAAGGUCUUCGGAUCGUAAAACUCUGUUAUUAGGGAAGAACAAAUGUGUAAGUAACUAUGCACGUCUUGACGGUACCUAAUCAGAAAGCCACGGCUAACUACGUG
Molecule: ribosomal RNA, 497 nt
Filed under: uncultured bacterium
Lineage: Bacteria
Description: partial 16S ribosomal RNA
Rfam family: Bacterial small subunit ribosomal RNA
Source: RNAcentral